RNAcentral lists this unclassified non-coding RNA (219 nucleotides) under fungal sp. Its description in RNAcentral is "partial contains small subunit ribosomal RNA and internal#transcribed spacer 1". Lineage: Eukaryota; Fungi. The record is from RNAcentral.
AAGACAUGGAGCAGGAAGCAGAUUAUGUAGCGGCAGAGGUGAACAAAAAGCUAAGGGAAGGGAUACCUCCGGAAGAAAUCGCGAUAAUUUUCCGAACGGUGCAGGAUGCGUCCAUUACGAUAACGGCAUUUUUGAACCGAGGUAUCCCCUUUUUUAUAAAGGAAAAGGCAUUUCAUCUUUUUGAGCACUUUAUUGCCGAGGAUGUCAAAGCCUAUUUCC